This 5236-nucleotide unclassified non-coding RNA is filed under the name Hevea brasiliensis (rubber tree). Lineage: Eukaryota; Viridiplantae; Streptophyta; Magnoliopsida; Malpighiales; Euphorbiaceae. The record is from RNAcentral.
UAAAAUAGGUAUCCUUGUCCUGCAAUUUUAUUGAUAUAAGUCCAAUUCAAAUAAUCAAGCAUUCAAUUCUUACAAUACAAUGGGCAUAAUUUCCCAAAAGAAAGAAGAAAAUAUAAUAAAACUGUACAGAAUCACUAUGCUAAAUGACAUCCCUGUAUGAUUAUCCUUAAUUUUAAUGAUUCUGGAGAUACUGCUUAUGCGAUCGGCUUUUCUUUUCAUCCUAUGCUCUGAUGAUUUAUAUGAAAAACGAUGAGAUCAUAUUUCACGGAGUACUCAAAACAUGGUUGCCAGGUUCCCUCGGCCAUACUCAUGCAUUAAGCAAAACAACUUACUGAAAUCUGUAUAAAUAUAUUCUAUUCUGAAUGGUAAUCUGCAUAUGAGAUCUAAUGCCAUUAAUCACACAGCUUAAAUCAAGAAAUGCUGAUAUUACCGUCAAGUUAUUGCCUUAUUGUACGAAGCUCCCAGUUACCCUCACCGUCAAUAAGCCGUAAUUCCACAGAAUGGAAUGGUAUUAGAGCAGGACGCUGUGAGGAUGUAACAACUGUGAUGUUCAUAUCCUUGGCAAGCCUAUAAAGUUGUUCCUCAACAUCGACACUUGUGGCAUUGGUGCAUUCGUCAAGAAUGCCAAAUUUGGGCUUGUGAAAGAAUAGGCGUGCCAUGCCUAAUCUCUGUUGUUCUCCAAGAGAGAGAAUAUCUUCCCAAUUCAAAUUAGCAUCCCAACCACCUUCCUCCCUUUCCAGAAGAUAGUUUAGUCUAACAUUCUCCAGAAUAGCUUUCAAAUGUGCAUCCAGAAUCUCUGUGGUGUCACCAGAUAUUUUAUCUGAAAUUUGACACAAUCAGAAUACCAAAGGACAAUUGAAUGUAGAAGUUAUAUCUCAGAAAACUACAAUACAAAAAAGAAAAUAAUAAUAAUAACGCCCAGGCAUGCAAAUUCUAUAAUCAUUCUACAAACUUAUUUGAUGAACAAAAACAGAAGAUCUUCAAUACUUCGCAUAAAAAACUUCUAACUAGUUGCAUAGAGUUGUUACUUCAUCACUACAGCUGAUGAAAUUAGUUAACGUCUUUAAAGUAAGGAGCUGUUGGAAAACCAUCCAAAACUAAAAUUUGACAUUUAAGCCAUGUCUAGCAUGUCCCUGAAUGACCAUAGCUGAGAGUAAAAGAGAAUAAGAGAAAGCUACAUCAACAAUUCCAAGGUUCUCUGGAUAAUUUGUUGCAAGGGCCAGCAAAUGUUUGCUUUCAGUUCAAAGUAGUUUCAAAUGCAUCAAAGAACCAGCACGGAACUGAUAAAAUGAUAUAAGCAUUUCUACAAAAUAAAAUGUUAUGCUUCAUUUCACAAUGGGCUGGGAAACAACCAUAAUGGAGAAAGGGGAAAAGAAGAGUAUAAAGAUGCCGAAAAAAAAAACAUUUUUCUUUUAUAUACAUAUAUAUGUAUAUACACACCUCAUUUUUUGAUUAAUCAAAAUGUUAGUUAGCAGGAGUGCGAAACAUAUGCAAUGCCUUGCCAAAUGAAUCUAUUUAGACUUUCAAUCAUGUAAAUAGUAGACAACGGAAGCCAUCAAGGAUUUACAAUAUAUGGAAGUACUUUACCUUCACCAUGCAGCUUUAACAUCAUACAUGCUGCCUCAUCAUGAGAGAGAGGAUAUAUAAUUUGAUCUCUCAAGGUUCCAAAGCAUGUGUAUGGCUGUUGAGGAACAUAGAAGACACCACAACCAGAUUCACCUUCUUCAUUAAUAUAUUGGGAUGGCUUAGCAAGUCUACCACUCACAAUGGGCCAAAGACCUCUAAGGACUCUGAAAACAGAACUUUUACCACUUCCAUUCGGACCUGUGACAAGCAAGCUUUUCCCUUGUACUAUGUCAAAUGUCAACCGCUUUGCCAACAAUUUCUGUGCUGGAGUAAUGAUAUCAACCUCCACAAAGGAAAUGAAAUCUUCUGUAUUAACAUCAGUCUCCUUAGACGGAGAGAGUUUAUUGGCCGGCCAAUUCCCAAACUCUGCAGCAUCUAGAAGCUCUUCGAGCUCAAAAAUUCUAUUCACACCGCCACAGAGCUCAAGGAACUUCUUAUGCAGUUCAAGAAUGUCUCCAAAUGCUAAAAAGCUCUGCGAGACAACAGAGGCUAAAAACCGCAAUGAAUGUGCCAACUCCCCUUGAGUUGAGAUCAGAGCUCUGUCUCCCUUGUGUUCCUUAGCAUACAACAAGCUCAAGCCCCAAGUUACAUUAUGUGGGAGUUGCUUUGUGACAAAAUCAUCCAGGAUACCAUAUAACCAUUUCUUCUUUAGAAGUAACAGAGAAUGGUCAAGCAGCUCCCUGAAUCUUGACUCAAUCAUAGCUUUUUCUCGUGUGCCACCUCCAAAGAAAGCAACGGACUCAGCAUGCAUACGCAGUCUUUCAUGCAUGAACCUAAAAGUUCCUUCAAGUUGUUGCUCUUGACUUGUAAGAUAACCAAAAUCGGGAGUUAUAGUUCUCAAAAAACCCAGACCAAGCAGCAUAUAAGCAUACAAUAUGGCAACUCCUUUCUGACCCGUUAAGAGCUUCAUUCUCCAGGUGAACCACAAGAUGUCAACAGAUGGCUUUACCAUUCCAGUUAAUAGUCCGGACAAGUCUGUGGACAGCUUUUGAAGAUCAUGAGUUAUUCUCUGAUCUGCAUCAAUAUUUUUGCUCGACAUAUCGAAGACCUUGUAAAACGCAUUGUUUCUCAAGUAUUUCUUUAGUAGAUGCUGAGUCAAAUGAAUCCUCCAUCCAAGAGCCAACCUAGCUUUCAAGUGCCUCAAUGAAGGUGCAAUGAAAGAAGAUGCAGCACUUUGAAGAAUACUAACACCAAUUAAUCGAAUAAACGAUGUUUUAUCCUGCUCCAAGACAAACUUUACAGUGGUGCCAUUCAAUGAGGCAAUCCGAUCGGAGACCCAUGUUCUUGAGACAACAAGAACAGCAACUGCAAGUAAUUGUGCCCCUUGUUUAUCAAGUAAAGUUGGUACCAGUAUUUUAAACAUGGCAGCCACUCUCAAUGCCAAUACCCUUGGAUCCCUUUGGAGCUGUGGGACAAUUGGUAAAGGAAGACCAGGAUCUGCACUAGGACAUGCCACUAUCACCUCUGAAAUAUAUGAUUGCGACUUUGAAUUUGAGAAUGUAGAAUCCUUAUCAGACGUGGCAAAUGCACGUUGAACUAACAUCGCAUCACUUUUGCGUUCCGUCUUAGAAGCCCUUGUGUCAUUGGUCCCAGGUUCCUUCAGGUCAGCAGAAUCCCUCCUUUUGUAACUAACUCGCCAGCCCCCUUCUCCAUCCAAGGACAAAACAACAUCAUGAAACGCAACUAGAGCUGGACGGUGCGAUAUUGUUAUGCAUGAAGUUCCCAUAGCAAGAACUUUCGCACAAAAUCGUUCCUCCAUGUCAGUAGUCACUGCACUGGUGCACUCAUCAAGAAUUGCAAAUUUAGGCUUGUGGUAGAACAGUCUGGCCAUGCCUAACCUUUGUUGCUCUCCCAGAGACAAUUCCUCACCCCAAUUUACCUCCUGCUCAGGUGGAUAACGAUCUAAUAGAUACUCAAGAUCAACAUUUUUCAAGAGCUCCACCAUUCCACUCCGUGUGAGAGGUUCAACCUCCUGGUCCACAGUAAGAGGAUAAAUUAACUGAUCACGAAGUGUGCCUACAGCUGUAUAUGGCCUUUGCGGCACAUAGAAAAUCUCUUUAUUAAGAUCAGAACCAACACCAGGUUUCACAAUAUGGCCAGACACCAACGGCCAAAGGCCACCUAGAACUCGAAAAAGUGAGCUCUUACCACUACCAUUUGGACCUGUAAUUAACAGAUUAGAUCCUGAUUCAACCUUAAGAGUCAGAUCUUCCACCAAAACAUUACCAGUUGGGGUGACAACCUUGACACCAGAAAACUCAACAUAAUCAGCUUCACUAAAGUAAUUCCUACUUCCACUUCUUUGCAGAGAAGUUUUAUCAUCGCAGUUUAGCUCUCUUGAUAUUACUAUUAACUCAUGAAUGCGAUCAGCAUAACCACUGAGACGAUUGAGCUGUCUUGAACUUCUAGAAAGAGCUCCCAAGGACUGAAAUAGUGAUGUUAUGACACUGGUGUGAUAUCUUAAGUUGCUCAACAUUGUUGCCCUUCCCAAAGUAGAGGCAUCAGGUCUUAGAUGGCCAGCAAAAAAGGGCUCUAUAAUCAAUACAACUGCAACUGUAGCACCAAGAUACUUCAACAAAAAAUCUUGAAUCAUUCCAAACCACCAAUGGUCAUAAAGGACAACUCUCAUGUGUCUAACAAGAUCCUUAAACUUCUGCUGAAUAUGUGAUUCUUCUCUACGUUCUCCACCAUAAAAUGCUAUACUUUCUGCAUGGGUCCUUAAACGUGAAUGAAGCCGCCGAUAUUCACCUUCCAACUGUUGUUCUUUUGACAUCAGUUUCCCAAAAGCAGGGGAAAAGUUUCUAAUCAUGGUUCCUGCUCCCAACACAUAGCCCAAUAUCCAGAAAAGAUAUUUUGGGCUAGCAUAAGAACACAGGCGCCAAGUAUAGAGAAGACCAUCAGUAACUGCUGUCAAGUCAUCCUGUACCAGUUCACUCAACUCUGAACAGAAUCUUGGUACAUCACUUGCAAUUCGUUGUUCAGGGUUAGUAAUCCGACCAUCAACAUGUGAUAUCUUAUAGUAUGCCAUGUUCUCAAAAUAAUGUGCAUGGAUACGUUUAGUCAAUAUUUUUCUGAAACAUAGACUUAAGGUCCCCGUUACAUACUUCGAAGUAGAAUGAAUAGUGGAUAGAAGAAAACAUAAUAAGAUAUUUUCAGAUAUCAACCGGAAAAAUAAUGGCACGCGUCGGAGAAAAGCAGCACGGAAUAGAAAUCCCUGUACUUUUGCUAAUCUGUUGCUCAAAGCAGUUCUCAACACUGCUAUAGCUAUCAUAGCCAAAAGAUCCCUUGUGCCCCUUUUGCCCAUCUCAGACAAAAGAACAGAAGCUAGAACAUGGAGUGAUUUCAAACUUCCUUUUUUCUGAAUAAUUUUCUUAGCUUCUUUCGCAACCUGCUUGUCUGAUUUGUCAUUAUCACCCCUAAGCCCAUUGUAGUGAUCAAUAGAAUCAAACUUUUUACAGCCAUGCCGUGACUUCACAUAUGCAGCAGUCCCGCCAAAAACUAAGAUACCACCAGCAAACAAUAGAGAUUUCCUUCUUGAAGCCAAGAGGCUUCGACCAUGCUCAGUUAGUUGCAACAGUUGAAGAGAAGGCAUGACUGAAAAUAAACCUUC